GGUGAGUAACACGUGGGUAACCUGCCCAUCAGAAGGGGAUAACACUUGGAAACAGGUGCUAAUACCGUAUAACAAUCGAAACCGCAUGGUUUUGAUUUGAAAGGCGCUUUCGGGUGUCGCUGAUGGAUGGACCCGCGGUGCAUUAGCUAGUUGGUGAGGUAACGGCUCACCAAGGCCACGAUGCAUAGCCGACCUGAGAGGGUGAUCGGCCACAUUGGGACUGAGACACGGCCCAAACUCCUACGGGAGGCAGCAGUAGGGAAUCUUCGGCAAUGGACGAAAGUCUGACCGAGCAACGCCGCGUGAGUGAAGAAGGUUUUCGGAUCGUAAAACUCUGUUGUUAGAGAAGAACAAGGAUGAGAGUAACUGUUCAUCCCUUGACGGUAUCUAACCAGAAAGCCACGGCUAACUACGUGCCAGCAGCCGCGGUAAUACGUAGGUGGCAAGCGUUGUCCGGAUUUAUUGGGCGUAAAGCGAGCGCAGGCGGUUUCUUAAGUCUGAUGUGAAAGCCCCCGGCUCAACCGGGGAGGGUCAUUGGAAACUGGGAGACUUGAGUGCAGAAGAGGAGAGUGGAAUUCCAUGUGUAGCGGUGAAAUGCGUAGAUAUAUGGAGGAACACCAGUGGCGAAGGCGGCUCUCUGGUCUGUAACUGACGCUGAGGCUCGAAAGCGUGGGGAGCAAACAGGAUUAGAUACCCUGGUAGUCCACGCCGUAAACGAUGAGUGCUAAGUGUUGGAGGGUUUCCGCCCUUCAGUGCUGCAGCUAACGCAUUAAGCACUCCGCCUGGGGAGUACGACCGCAAGGUUGAAACUCAAAGGAAUUGACGGGGGCCCGCACAAGCGGUGGAGCAUGUGGUUUAAUUCGAAGCAACGCGAAGAACCUUACCAGGUCUUGACAUCCUUUGACCACUCUAGAGAUAGAGCUUCCCCUUCGGGGGCAAAGUGACAGGUGGUGCAUGGUUGUCGUCAGCUCGUGUCGUGAGAUGUUGGGUUAAGUCCCGCAACGAGCGCAACCCUUAUUGUUAGUUGCCAUCAUUCAGUUGGGCACUCUAGCAAGACUGCCGGUGACAAACCGGAGGAAGGUGGGGAUGACGUCAAAUCAUCAUGCCCCUUAUGACCUGGGCUACACACGUGCUACAAUGGGAAGUACAACGAGUCGCGAAGUCGCGAGGCUAAGCUAAUCUCUUAAAGCUUCUCUCAGUUCGGAUUGCAGGCUGCAACUCGCCUGCAUGAAGCCGGAAUCGCUAGUAAUC
This 1251-nucleotide ribosomal RNA is filed under the name Enterococcus faecium. Its description in RNAcentral is "bacterial SSU rRNA". It matches the Rfam family "Bacterial small subunit ribosomal RNA", at positions 105 to 1343 of the family's 1533-position model. The record is from RNAcentral. Lineage: Bacteria; Bacillati; Bacillota; Bacilli; Lactobacillales; Enterococcaceae.